UGGGGAAUAUUGCACAAUGGAGGGAACUCUGAUGCAGCGACGCCGCGUGAACGAAGAAGGCUUUCGAGUCGUAAAGUUCUUUUAUAUGGGAAGAUAAUGACGGUACCAUAAGAAAAAGCCCCGGCUAACUACGUGCCAGCAGCCGCGGUAAUACGUAGGGGGCUAGCGUUGUCCGGAAUCACUGGGCGUAAAGGGUUCGCAGGCGGAAAUGCAAGUCAGGUGUAAAAGGCAGUAGCUUAACUACUGUAAGCAUUUGAAACUGCAUAUCUUGAGAAGAGUAGAGGUAAGUGGAAUUUUUAGUGUAGCGGUGAAAUGCGUAGAUAUUAAAAAGAAAACCGGUGGCGAAGGCGACUUACUGGGCUCAUUCUGACGCUGAGGAACGAAAGCGUGGGUAGCAAACAGG
Molecule: ribosomal RNA, 403 nt
Filed under: Fusobacteriota bacterium
Lineage: Bacteria; Fusobacteriati; Fusobacteriota
Description: Fusobacteria bacterium partial 16S ribosomal RNA
Rfam family: Bacterial small subunit ribosomal RNA
Source: RNAcentral